RNAcentral lists this ribosomal RNA (492 nucleotides) under uncultured bacterium. RNAcentral's name for it is "bacterial SSU rRNA". It matches the Rfam family "Bacterial small subunit ribosomal RNA", at positions 28 to 531 of the family's 1533-position model. The record is from RNAcentral.
GAUGAACGCUAGCGGCAGGCUUAAUACAUGCAAGUCAAGGGGGUAGCAAUACAACCGGCGCACGGGUGAGUAACGCGUACACAACAUACCAUAUACUGGAGUAUAGCUUUGGGAAACUGAAGGUAAUCCUCCAUAACAUUGCGAGAGGGCAUCUGAUUGCAAUUAAAGUUUCGGCGGUAUAUGAUUGGUGUGCGUUUGAUUAGCUAGUUGGUAGGGUAACGGCCUACCAAGGCGACGAUCAAUAGUUGGCGUGAGAGCGCGACCAGCCACACUGGAACUGAGACACGGUCCAGACUCCUACGGGAGGCAGCAGUAGGGAAUAUUGGACAAUGGAGGAAACUCUGAUCCAGCCAUGCCGCGUGAUAGAUGAAGGCCCUCUGGGUUGUAAAUAUCUUUUAUCUGGGAAGAAACACUCCUAUUCUUAGGAACUUGACGGUACCAGAGGAAUAAGCACCGGCUAACUCCGUGCCAGCAGCCGCGGUAAAGUAGUCG